GACGAACGCUGGCGGCGUGCUUAACACAUGCAAGUCGAACGGAAAGGCCCUCCUUUGGGGUUCCUGAGUUGCGAAAGGGUGGGUAACCCGGGAGUAACUUACCCUUGCCCUUGGGAUUACGUCAGGGAACUGGGGCUAAUACCGGAUAGGAGCUCCUGCUGCAUGGUGGGGGUUGGAAGGUUUUUGGGUUUGGGGUGGGCUCGGGGCCUAUUGGCUUGUUGGUGGGGUAAUGGCCUACCAAGGCGUCGACGGGUAGCCGGCCUGGGAGGGUGAACGGCCAAAUUGGGCCUGGGUUCGGCCCAGAACUCCACGGGGGGGCAGAGGGGGGGAUAAUGGCACAAUGGGGGGAAGCCUGAUGCGGCACCGCCGGGUGCGGGAUGACGGCCUUCGGUUUGUAAACCGCUUUCGCCUGUGACGAAGCGUGAGUGACGGUAAUGGGUAAAGAAGCACCGGCUAACUACGUG
This 464-nucleotide ribosomal RNA is filed under the name uncultured bacterium. Its description in RNAcentral is "partial 16S ribosomal RNA". It matches the Rfam family "Bacterial small subunit ribosomal RNA", at positions 28 to 507 of the family's 1533-position model. The record is from RNAcentral.